This 652-nucleotide long non-coding RNA is filed under the name Populus tremula. RNAcentral's name for it is "long non-coding RNA (PTRE_LNC000257)". Lineage: Eukaryota; Viridiplantae; Streptophyta; Magnoliopsida; Malpighiales; Salicaceae. The record is from RNAcentral.
CAGGCAUGAAAGAAAUGAGGUUGAUGCGCCACUCAACACCAUGAGAAUACAUCACAUCACUAGAAAAAAAAUGAUAUUCCGCUUCUAAUACCGUAAUGAAAAGAGGAUUUUGGUUGAUGUAGAAGCUCUCACACACCACACCACUUGAAUGGUUGAUGUAGAAGAUAUUCCGCUUCUAAUACCACUUGAAAAGAGGAUUUGCAUCUUGUUAACUUUAGAUUUGCCAUUUUCUUUGCUUGUUGCAGCUGCUCAAGGUCAAAACUUCUGUACCUUAUUGAUCACAUGAUAUAUUUCAUAGUUUAGGACAAACAAUGAAUCCGUUCGACCAAGUAAUAAUACAUCAAUAUAUGACACCAAAUAUCAUAUACCUGAAAUGAUAUAAACAAUAAUAAUAUACACACGCAGCAGGACACCUAUAUAUAUUAAUGCGGGAUUUAAUGUCUAAAUUAUAAGCUAAAGUAUAAGAUUAGGAAAAACAUACAAGUAAUCUGAUCGUGGAAGACUCGUUACUGAGUUUCCCCUCCAAUAACAUGAAUAUUUUGUAUCAACAACUUGCAAAUUUUCAUGAAAUAAAUGAAAGAAAAACCUUCUCAAACAUUAUGAUGAAAGAAUUGGAGGGGAAACUAUGACCCGCCACUAUUUUGAAGGCAUC